Long non-coding RNA from Orbicella faveolata, 356 nucleotides. NCBI's taxonomy places the organism in Eukaryota, Metazoa, Cnidaria, Anthozoa, Scleractinia, Merulinidae. The record is from RefSeq and is a predicted model, not a curated record.
UGGAUUAUUGGAUGCGACAAUAAUCGAUUUGUUGAUUCAAAUUCGCGGGCUCAAUUUCAAAAUGGCGUUCAAGCAGAGGGUGUCAGACUUCAAAUCUGCUCUCUCUGCGCAACAGAUUGACCUCAAAAAUCUUAGAAGACUCUGCUUUAGUGGCAUACCUGAUGGAUCUGGAAUUCGGUCAUUAUGUUGGAAGGUAGGAAGAAACAACAUGUACUCCAGAGUGUAGUUCAGGAAAGUGUCCAUAUAUACCCACCCCAUAUCCAUGGAAGGUCAUUUGGAAAUUCUGAGGGAAUGAGGUCUCAAGUGACAAAAUAUUUAAAGGAAUUUGUGAGGCUAAGCUUGAAAUUCCAGAGGUU